Molecule: ribosomal RNA, 253 nt
Filed under: uncultured bacterium
Lineage: Bacteria
Description: partial 16S ribosomal RNA
Rfam family: Bacterial small subunit ribosomal RNA
Source: RNAcentral
GACAGAGGUGCCGAGCGUUAGGCGGAAUCACUGGGCUUAAAGCGUGUGUAGGCGGGUCGUUAAGUACCUUGUGAAAUCCCCCGGCUCAACCGGGGAACGGCUGGGUAUACUGGCGAUCUUGAGCCACCUAGGGGCAGUCGGAACAAGUGGUGGAGCGGUGAAAUGCGUAGAUAUCACUUGGAACGCCAAUGGUGAAAACAGACUGCUGGGGGUGUGCUGACGCUGAGACACGAAAGCCAGGGGAGCAAACGGG